GACGAACGCUGGCGGCGUGCUUAACACAUGCAAGUCGAACGGAAAGGCCCUGCUUUUGUGGGGUGCUCGAGUGGCGAACGGGUGAGUAACACGUGAGUAACCUGCCCUUGACUUUGGGAUAACUUCAGGAAACUGGGGCUAAUACCGGAUAGGAGCUCCUGCUGCAUGGUGGGGGUUGGAAAGUUUCGGCGGUUGGGGAUGGACUCGCGGCGUAUCAGCUUGUUGGGGGGGUAGUGGCGUACCAAGGCUUUGACGGGUAGCCGGCCUGAGCGGGUGACCGGCCACACUGGGACGGAGAGACGGCCCAGACUCGUACGGGAGGGAGCGGUGGGGAAGAUUGCACAAUGGGCGGAGGCCUGAUGCAGCAACGCCGCGUGGGGGAUGACGGCCUGCGGGUUGUAAAGCGCUGUCGCCUGUGACGGAGCGUGAGUGACGGUAAUGGGUAAAGAAGCACCGGCUAACUACGUG
Molecule: ribosomal RNA, 468 nt
Filed under: uncultured bacterium
Lineage: Bacteria
Description: partial 16S ribosomal RNA
Rfam family: Bacterial small subunit ribosomal RNA
Source: RNAcentral